AACGAACGCUGGCGGCAUGCCUAACACAUGCAAGUCGAACGAGCCCUUCGGGUCUAGUGGCGCACGGGUGCGUAACGCGUGGGAACCUGCCCUUAGGUUCGGAAUAACUCCCCGAAAGGGGUGCUAAUACCGGAUAAUGUCUUCGGACCAAAGAUUUAUCGCCUUUGGAUGGGCCCGCGUUGGAUUAGCUAGUUGGUAGGGUAACAGCCUACCAAGGCGACGAUCAAUAGCUGGUCUGAGAGGAUGACCAGCCACACUGGGACUGAGACACGGCCCAGACUCCUACGGGAGGCAGCAGUGGGGAAUAUUGGGCAAUGGGCGAAAGCCUGAUGCAGCAAUGCCGCGUGAAUGAUGAAGGCCUUAGGGUUGUAAAGCUCUUUUACCCGGGAUGAUAAUGACAGUACCGGGAGAAUAAGCUCCGGCUAACUCCGUG
RNAcentral lists this ribosomal RNA (433 nucleotides) under uncultured bacterium. Its description in RNAcentral is "partial 16S ribosomal RNA". It matches the Rfam family "Bacterial small subunit ribosomal RNA", at positions 29 to 507 of the family's 1533-position model. The record is from RNAcentral.